GCGAUACCCGAAUGGGGAAACCCAGUGUGACUCGUCACACUAUCAUUAACUGAAUCCAUAGGUUAAUGAGGCGAACCGGGGGAACUGAAACAUCUAAGUACCCCGAGGAAAAGAAAUCAACCGAGAUUCCCCCAGUAGCGGCGAGCGAACGGGGAGGAGCCCAGAGCCUGAAUCAGCAUGUGUGUUAGUGGAAGCGUCUGGAAAGGCGCGCGAUACAGGGUGACAGCCCCGUACACAAAAGCGCAUGUGCUGUGAGCUCGAUGAGUAGGGCGGGACACGUGGUAUCCUGUCUGAAUAUGGGGGGACCAUCCUCCAAGGCUAAAUACUCCUGACUGACCGAUAGUGAACCAGUACCGUGAGGGAAAGGCGAAAAGAACCCCGGCGAGGGGAGUGAAAAAGAACCUGAAACCGUGUACGUACAAGCAGUGGGAGCACAGGUUUACCUGUGUGACUGCGUACCUUUUGUAUAAUGGGUCAGCGACUUAUAUUCUGUAGCAAGGUUAACCGAAUAGGGGAGCCGGAGGGAAACCGAGUCUUAAUUGGGCGUUAAGUUGCAGGGUAUAGACCCGAAACCCGGUGAUCUAGCCAUGGGCAGGUUGAAGGUUGGGUAACACUAACUGGAGGACCGAACCGACUAAUGUUGAAAAAUUAGCGGAUGACCUGUGGCUGGGGGUGAAAGGCCAAUCAAACCGGGAGAUAGCUGGUUCUCCCCGAAAGCUAUUUAGGUAGCGCCUCGUGAAUUCAUCUCCGGGGGUAGAGCACUGUUUCGGCUAGGGGGCCAUCCCGGCUUACCAACCCGAUGCAAACUGCGAAUACCGGAGAAUGUUAUCACGGGAGACACACGGCGGGUGCUAACGUCCGUCGUGAAGAGGGAAACAACCCAGACCGCCAGCUAAGGUCCCAAAGUCAUGGUUAAGUGGGAAACGAUGUGGGAAGGCCCAGACAGCCAGGAUGUUGGCUUAGAAGCAGCCAUCAUUUAAAGAAAGCGUAAUAGCUCACUGGUCGAGUCGGCCUGCGCGGAAGAUGUAACGGGGCUAAACCAUGCACCGAAGCUGCGGCAGCGACACUGUGUGUUGUUGGGUAGGGGAGCGUUCUGUAAGCCUGUGAAGGUGUGUCGUGAGGCAUGCUGGAGGUAUCAGAAGUGCGAAUGCUGACAUAAGUAACGAUAAAGCGGGUGAAAAGCCCGCUCGCCGGAAGACCAAGGGUUCCUGUCCAACGUUAAUCGGGGCAGGGUGAGUCGACCCCUAAGGCGAGGCCGAAAGGCGUAGUCGAUGGGAAACGGGUUAAUAUUCCCGUACUUGGUGUUACUGCGAAGGGGGGACGGAGAAGGCUAUGUUGGCCGGGCGACGGUUGUCCCGGUUUAAGCGUGUAGGUGUGUGUUCCAGGUAAAUCCGGUUCACUUUAACACUGAGGCGUGACGACGAGGCACUACGGUGCUGAAGCAACAAAUGCCCUGCUUCCAGGAAAAGCCUCUAAGCAUCAGGUAACAUCAAAUCGUACCCCAAACCGACACAGGUGGUCAGGUAGAGAAUACCAAGGCGCUUGAGAGAACUCGGGUGAAGGAACUAGGCAAAAUGGUGCCGUAACUUCGGGAGAAGGCACGCUGACACGUAGGUGAAGUGAUUUACUCAUGGAGCUGAAGUCAGUCGAAGAUACCAGCUGGCUGCAACUGUUUAUUAAAAACACAGCACUGUGCAAACACGAAAGUGGACGUAUACGGUGUGACGCCUGCCCGGUGCCGGAAGGUUAAUUGAUGGGGUCAGCGCAAGCGAAGCUCCUGAUCGAAGCCCCGGUAAACGGCGGCCGUAACUAUAACGGUCCUAAGGUAGCGAAAUUCCUUGUCGGGUAAGUUCCGACCUGCACGAAUGGCGUAAUGAUGGCCAGGCUGUCUCCACCCGAGACUCAGUGAAAUUGAACUCGCUGUGAAGAUGCAGUGUACCCGCGGCAAGACGGAAAGACCCCGUGAACCUUUACUAUAGCUUGACACUGAACAUUGAGCCUUGAUGUGUAGGAUAGGUGGGAGGCUUUGAAGUGUGGACGCCAGUCUGCAUGGAGCCGACCUUGAAAUACCACCCUUUAAUGUUUGAUGUUCUAACGUGGACCCGUUACCCGGGUUGCGGACAGUGUCUGGUGGGUAGUUUGACUGGGGCGGUCUCCUCCUAAAGAGUAACGGAGGAGCACGAAGGUUGGCUAAUCCUGGUCGGACAUCAGGAGGUUAGUGCAAUGGCAUAAGCCAGCUUGACUGCGAGCGUGACGGCGCGAGCAGGUGCGAAAGCAGGUCAUAGUGAUCCGGUGGUUCUGAAUGGAAGGGCCAUCGCUCAACGGAUAAAAGGUACUCCGGGGAUAACAGGCUGAUACCGCCCAAGAGUUCAUAUCGACGGCGGUGUUUGGCACCUCGAUGUCGGCUCAUCACAUCCUGGGGCUGAAGUAGGUCCCAAGGGUAUGGCUGUUCGCCAUUUAAAGUGGUACGCGAGCUGGGUUUAGAACGUCGUGAGACAGUUCGGUCCCUAUCUGCCGUGGGCGCUGGAGAACUGAGGGGGGCUGCUCCUAGUACGAGAGGACCGGAGUGGACGCAUCACUGGUGUUCGGGUUGUCAUGCCAAUGGCACUGCCCGGUAGCUAAAUGCGGAAGAGAUAAGUGCUGAAAGCAUCUAAGCACGAAACUUGCCCCGAG
RNAcentral lists this ribosomal RNA (2673 nucleotides) under Salmonella enterica subsp. enterica serovar Enteritidis. Its description in RNAcentral is "partial 23S ribosomal RNA". It matches the Rfam family "Bacterial large subunit ribosomal RNA". Lineage: Bacteria; Pseudomonadati; Pseudomonadota; Gammaproteobacteria; Enterobacterales; Enterobacteriaceae. The record is from RNAcentral.